RNAcentral lists this ribosomal RNA (448 nucleotides) under uncultured bacterium. RNAcentral describes it as "partial 16S ribosomal RNA". It matches the Rfam family "Bacterial small subunit ribosomal RNA", at positions 328 to 793 of the family's 1533-position model. The record is from RNAcentral.
AAGCCAGACUCCUACGGGAGGCAGCAGUGGGGAAUAUUGCACAAUGGGGGAAACCCUGAUGCAGCGACGCCGCGUGGGUGACGAAGUAUUUCGGUAUGUAAAACCCUAUCAGCAGGGAAGAAGAUGACAGUACCUGACUAAGAAGCCCCGGCUAACUACGUGCCAGCAGCCGCGGUAAUACGUAGGGGGCAAGCGUUAUCCGGAUUUACUGGGUGUAAAGGGAGCGUAGGUGGCAUGGCAAGCCAGAUGUGAAAGCCCGGGGCUCAACCCCGGGACUGCAUUUGGAACUGUGUGGCUGGAGUGUCGGAGAGGCAGGCGGAAUUCCUAGUGUAGCGGUGAAAUGCGUAGAUAUUAGGAGGAACACCAGUGGCGAAGGCGGCCUGCUGGACGAUGACUGACGUUGAGGCUCGAAAGCGUGGGGAGCAAACAGGAUUAGAUACCCCGGUAA